GCUGAGGUCGUAUAAUCUGGUAUUACGCUGGCCUCGAAAGCCAGUUCCGCAAGGUAUGUAGGUUCGAAUCCUGCCCUCAGCG
This 82-nucleotide transfer RNA is filed under the name Candidatus Woesearchaeota archaeon. RNAcentral describes it as "tRNA-Ser". It matches the Rfam family "tRNA". Rfam says of the family: Transfer RNA (tRNA) molecules are approximately 80 nucleotides in length. Their secondary structure includes four short double-helical elements and three loops (D, anti-codon, and T loops). Lineage: Archaea; Nanobdellati; Candidatus Woesearchaeota. The record is from RNAcentral.